GAGAACCAAGUCGAGAUGCUGUCGUUUCUAGGAACCAACAAAAUCAAACAGAAUCCAGAUUUCCAUUUCUUCUCAUAUCAGCCAACUGAGCUCGCUUUCUACCCUCUCUCUCGCCGGUGCCAUGGAGGAUCUUCCUUUACAGAAGGUGGCAAUAUCAGGUCCCACGUUAACCUCCAUGAUACAGCGCUUCUCCUCCUCUCUCGGUGACGUAGACGGCAUCCUAUUCGGCCACGUCACCCACAUGCCCUCCACUCUCUCCGACGACUCACCGCAAGCCCGCUCUGACUCCGAUCCCUCUCAACUCGUGGCCAACGUCACUUCCUUCCUUUGCCCCAGCUCACCUCUCUCCUUUUACGAUUCAUUUGGCCGAGUCGACUCUUCUUCUCUCCAUCGAUUCCUGCCCUCUCAAACUCACCACCAGUUCAUUGGCUGG
This 433-nucleotide unclassified non-coding RNA is filed under the name Hevea brasiliensis (rubber tree). Lineage: Eukaryota; Viridiplantae; Streptophyta; Magnoliopsida; Malpighiales; Euphorbiaceae. The record is from RNAcentral.